Molecule: ribosomal RNA, 576 nt
Filed under: Leptocylindrus danicus
Lineage: Eukaryota; Bacillariophyta; Leptocylindrophyceae; Leptocylindrales; Leptocylindraceae
Description: eukaryotic LSU rRNA
Rfam family: Eukaryotic large subunit ribosomal RNA
Source: RNAcentral
AUGCAAAGAACUUUGAAAAGAGAGUUAAAGAGUACCUGAAAUUGCUGAAAGGGAAGCGAUGGAUACCAGUGUUUGACUUGGUCAUAUUUCUGAUACUGCUUGCAGUGUUAGCGCUGUGAUUUUGUCUUUGUUAGCUCUGGCUGGUUUUGUGUCAUACGGCCCUUGGAUCGUUGAUCCAUUGGUUUUGUCAUGUUUCUGGCUUCAGCUGACGAAAUGGUCUUCAUUGUCCCGUCUUGAAACACGGACCAAGGAGUCCAACAUAUGUGCGAGUACAGAGUUGUCAAAAUUCCGUGCGCAAUGAAAGUAACAGUGGUGGGAUUUUUGCACCAUCCGCCGGCCAUUAGCCUUCGGGCUUUAGGUCUGAGUGUGAGCAUGUCUGUUGGGACCCGAAAGGUGGUGAACUAUUCCUGAAUAGGGUGAAGCCAGGGGAAACUCUGGUGGAGGCUCGUAGCGAUUCUGACGUGCAAAUCGAUCGUCAAAUUUGGGUAUAGGGGCGAAAGACUAAUCGAACCGCCUAGUAGCUGGUUCCCUCCGAAAUUUCCCUCAGGAUAGCUGAAAUUGUUAACAUUUUCAUGG